AGUGAACGCUGGCGGUAGGCCUAACACAUGCAAGUCGAACGGCAGCACAGUAAGAGCUUGCUCUUACGGGUGGCGAGUGGCGGACGGGUGAGGAAUACAUCGGAAUCUACUUUUUCGUGGGGGAUAACGUAGGGAAACUUACGCUAAUACCGCAUACGACCUACGGGUGAAAGCAGGGGAUCUUCGGACCUUGCGCGAUUGAAUGCGCCGAUGUCGGAUUAGCUAGUUGGCGGGGUAAAGGCCCACCAAGGCGACGAUCCGUAGCUGGUCUGAGAGGAUGAUCAGCCACACUGGAACUGAGACACGGUCCAGACUCCUACGGGAGGCAGCAGUGGGGAAUAUUGGACAAUGGGCGCAAGCCUGAUCCAGCCAUACCGCGUGGGUGAAGAAGGCCUUCGGGUUGUAAAGCCCUUUUGUUGGGAAAGAAAAGCAGCAGGUUAAUACCCCGCUGUUCUGAAGGUACCCAAAGAAUAAGCACCGGCUAACUUCGUG
RNAcentral lists this ribosomal RNA (492 nucleotides) under uncultured bacterium. RNAcentral describes it as "partial 16S ribosomal RNA". It matches the Rfam family "Bacterial small subunit ribosomal RNA", at positions 29 to 507 of the family's 1533-position model. The record is from RNAcentral.